GUGUAGAACAACUUGUCAGAUGGUGCAUUGGAGACUGAUGUGUUCCUCUCCUGUCUUUUCACAAUACUAUUGCAGGUAUGGUUCUAUUGUCUAAGAAUUAAGAUUAUACAUUCUUUGUAUUAAGGACUGGUUAUUAUUUUAUAGUAUACAUUAUGGCUUUAUAUAUGAAUGUGAUUGUGUGAGUCUGAGAAAACACUGAGAGAGAAAGAACAACUUGUCAGAUGGUGCAUUGGAGACCGAUGUGUUCCUGUCCUGUCUUUUCACAAUACUAUUGCAGAUCAACAUAAAAGCCUAAAAGAGAGCCGUGGUGUCGCUCUUCAUUUCCCUGGUUCUCCUGUGGAACCAAGACCCUUUCGCAGAUGUGGCAAAGGGGUCCCAACUGUUUCAACAGAGAUGUCGGGAGACAGUUUGUUGUGGAAUCAAUGUCACAGGAAGUGAUACGGUCCAGAGGCAUGGUGAAUCAUUGCUUAUGACUAAAAUGUUUGACGGGAGCACAUGGCAAAUGGACUUUGUGAUGUAAGUCUGAGGAAAGACGGACAACUGCCUGCUGGCUUGCAUCGCUGUGCCCCAUAGUGUUUUGGUUUGGUUUUAUAUGUUUGUCAGAUUUUAAUUAGCAUUGUUUUUAAGUUAAAAGUAAAGAGAAAAUAGAAUACGCAAAUGAAGCUUUCUAACUGAAUUGUGAAAACAAACUGAGAAUGCAUUGAAACUUGAUUACUGAA
Salvelinus fontinalis (brook trout) is the source of this 719-nucleotide long non-coding RNA. RefSeq lists it as uncharacterized. The transcript is spliced from 3 exons. NCBI's taxonomy places the organism in Eukaryota, Metazoa, Chordata, Actinopteri, Salmoniformes, Salmonidae. The record is from RefSeq and is a predicted model, not a curated record.